GUGCUGAGUAGAAGCGUUCAGCACACCACGGCCCUGGCCGUGCCGCUGGAAAUUGCUCACCCC
Molecule: non-coding RNA, 63 nt
Filed under: unclassified sequences
Description: Xanthine-I sequence
Rfam family: Xanthine riboswitch aptamer (NMT1 RNA)
About the family: Later it was reported as a ncRNA that recognised Xanthine.
Source: Rfam by way of RNAcentral